AGCCGCUGAUCAACCGAAUUGUACUUAUCACGAAAAUGUACUUAUCACUGAAUGAACAGAGUGAUUUAUUCCUUCUUUACCUUCGAAUAUUUACCUACUAACCUACUCUUGUUUGUCACAGGGCUUUUCUUCGAAACAUCUAUACGCGGGAGCAGAAGUGUGAUUGCUGUAUCACAUCGUCACAAGUUUGUUGACUAUAUGACCUGACGAUAAACAGCUGAUAGUUAUCAGAAGAACAGCAAUGCCUUACAAACACUGCGAUUUCAUGUGACUCAGUUCAGUCAAAGGAACAGCUGCCCUCGAAGAGAAUACGUAGCUGCUGAGGAACAUUCAGGAUUACAGAGAGCAACAUGUCACGAUUGGGCAUAAUAACAGCUAUUUUUUUCGGGCCACUGCUUUUUGUUGGCUGCGCGGCCUCGCUCGCCAUCGGCGCCCAGGAGUCCGACAUGCACCUGCUGUUCACCGACCUGUUCGCCACGUACAACAAGCACGUGCGGCCCGUGCUGCACCACGACGAGAUCAUGAAGGUCUUCUUCGAGAUCUCGCUCUUCAACAUCC
RNAcentral lists this long non-coding RNA (558 nucleotides) under Penaeus japonicus. RNAcentral's name for it is "uncharacterized LOC122268020". Lineage: Eukaryota; Metazoa; Arthropoda; Malacostraca; Decapoda; Penaeidae. The record is from RNAcentral.